ACACAGAUAAACAGAACAUUUUAUUUAGUUUACCAGGACAUGGGUCAGGUUUUCCAGCUGAUGAAGAGAUAAACACAGCAGAUGUGGAAGUAAAGUAGUCAGAAAUCAACCUAUACCUCCUGAAAGUCCAGCAUCAACCAACCACUUAAAAAAUGGGAUCCGAGUUUCUAACAGCUUUUUGUUUUUGUUUAAACUCUGGAGAACAAAAAUGUGGACUCUGUCACCAGCAGACUGAUUAACACGUCGCAGCGACGUUUGUCGCAAUUUAUUGGACUUAUCUCUACCAGCAGAACUUCCUCUGACCCGAUUGUAGUAAGAAUUUCACAGAUAUCAAACGCAAGUGCCAGAACUCCAGACAGAAGCGGAUAUAAAAGCUCUGAUUGAUUGAAGAAGCAGCAUUUAGCUGCAACUAGAAACUUUAACAUGUUAACUUUGAUUAAUUAAUUACAUAGAUAUUAAGUUGUUAAACAUUUCAACGCAAUGAAUCGCAAUUUCUUUUUUCCACCCAAACAUCUCGAGCCGGAACCUUUGUAUCGUGUUUCUGCUACGGCCGUAAAUCUGACGCACAAGUAGCGUCCGCAAACAACAUCGGGGUAGACGACAAAGCCGCUUCUCUUGAUUCACUGGGGAUUAAUUUUUGCUUUAAGAAACGAUCUGAUGUGACGCUGGGAACAGGUUUGUGAUGAUCCAGGACGACAGAGCAGGCUAAGGUGACAGCAACACAGAUGAAAUCUCACUCAGAAGGACAAAACAGAAGCCAACAUGCUGGGAUCAAAUCCUAAAAAGAACAACACCUGAAACACCGGGACACUCAAGGACACGCCGUGAUGUCAUCUGCCGUGUGGGCGGUGCAGGUGUUGUCAUAGCAACAGGGUGACCUUUCCUCACAUUGGACAAAUUAACACAAUGAGGACAUGCAGCUCAUCAGAUAUGCUGAUUAACAGCAGGGGGUUGAUUAGCAACAUGCGCAGGAAGCAGCUGUCAUUAAGCAGUGUAAGUGAGCUUGUUGCAUCGCCAGCUGCAGGAGACGCUCCAGUUCGACUCCACCAACGUGGCGGUGAGGGUCAGUCGGAACUGCUGAGUUUGACCUUGAAGCCAGAAGCAUCCAGGUGAAACAGCAGCAGGAGAACGACCGCCUCUGGAAAAGCACAGAGGAAGUCUGCAAACCAACGCAUCUCAAAGUCUCAUUCACAACAUUCACAGGAAAUGGAGAAACUUUGGGAUUGAGGAUCACAAGAAAGACUGAAUUAUAUAGCAGUCUACCUUUGCAACUAACUAUUAUGUUAGUAAUUGAAUAUUUAUUAUUUGGAUGAUUAACUGAUAAAUUUACACAUUCUGGUGAAUUUUUUAGGUUUACCACUUGAGCCUCACAAUUUUAACUAAUUCUACCCAAAUGUACUUGA
Poecilia reticulata (guppy) is the source of this 1403-nucleotide long non-coding RNA. RefSeq lists it as uncharacterized. The record is from RefSeq and is a predicted model, not a curated record. NCBI's taxonomy places the organism in Eukaryota, Metazoa, Chordata, Actinopteri, Cyprinodontiformes, Poeciliidae.